AAGGUAGCGAAAUCAUUUGUUCUUUUAUUGAGAACUUGUAUGAAUGGGGUUUUAAUUUUUCUUUUUUAUUUGUUUUUUUUUUAAUUUGUUUUUCAUUUGAAAACUUUUUGAUGAUUUUUAAAAGACUAAAAGACCCUUGGAUUUUUAUUUAUAUGAAUUUUUUAAUUUUCUUUUAUUUAGGCUUUUUAUUUUUAUUUUUUUGAUUGGGGUAAUCUUUUAUUUUAAUUUAUAAAAAUAUGUUUUUUUGAUCUUUAUUUUUGCUUUUUGUUUAAAUACCCAAGGGUUAACAGCGUAAUUUGUUUGGUUAGUUCUUAUUAAUAAAUUUUAUUGCGACCUCGAUGUUGGUUUGUUUUACCUUUUUGAGGUAGAAUGUAAAUUAGGAAGUCUGUUCGACUUUUAAAAAAACACAUGAACUGAGUUCAAGUCGGCGUGAGCCAGA
RNAcentral lists this ribosomal RNA (439 nucleotides) under Lebertia schechteli. RNAcentral's name for it is "partial large subunit ribosomal RNA". The stretch from base 283 to 439 matches the Rfam family "Archaeal large subunit ribosomal RNA", at positions 2542 to 2699 of the family's 2987-position model. Lineage: Eukaryota; Metazoa; Arthropoda; Arachnida; Trombidiformes; Lebertiidae. The record is from RNAcentral.